RNAcentral lists this ribosomal RNA (1008 nucleotides) under Cellulomonas sp. Its description in RNAcentral is "bacterial SSU rRNA". It matches the Rfam family "Bacterial small subunit ribosomal RNA", at positions 28 to 1049 of the family's 1533-position model. Lineage: Bacteria; Bacillati; Actinomycetota; Actinomycetes; Micrococcales; Cellulomonadaceae. The record is from RNAcentral.
GACGAACGCUGGCGGCGUGCUUAACACAUGCAAGUCGAACGGUGAAGGUCAGCUUGCUGACCGGAUCAGUGGCGAACGGGUGAGUAACACGUGAGCAACCUGCCCCCUACUCUGGGAUAAGCCUUGGAAACGAGGUCUAAUACCGGAUACGAGAUGCACCGGCAUCGGUAGCGUCUGGAAAGAUUUAUCGGUGGGGGAUGGGCUCGCGGCCUAUCAGCUUGUUGGUGGGGUGAUGGCCUACCAAGGCGACGACGGGUAGCCGGCCUGAGAGGGCGACCGGCCACACUGGGACUGAGACACGGCCCAGACUCCUACGGGAGGCAGCAGUGGGGAAUAUUGCACAAUGGGCGCAAGCCUGAUGCAGCGACGCCGCGUGAGGGAUGACGGCCUUCGGGUUGUAAACCUCUUUCAGCAGGGAAGAAGCGCAAGUGACGGUACCUGCAGAAGAAGCGCCGGCUAACUACGUGCCAGCAGCCGCGGUAAUACGUAGGGCGCAAGCGUUGUCCGGAAUUAUUGGGCGUAAAGAGCUCGUAGGCGGUCUGUCGCGUCUGCUGUGAAAACCUCAGGCUCAACCUGGGGCUUGCAGUGGGUACGGGCAGACUAGAGUGCGGUAGGGGUGACUGGAAUUCCUGGUGUAGCGGUGGAAUGCGCAGAUAUCAGGAGGAACACCGAUGGCGAAGGCAGGUCACUGGGCCGCAACUGACGCUGAGGAGCGAAAGCAUGGGGAGCGAACAGGAUUAGAUACCCUGGUAGUCCAUGCCGUAAACGUUGGGCACUAGGUGUGGGGUCCAUUCCACGGAUUCCGUGCCGCAGCAAACGCAUUAAGUGCCCCGCCUGGGGAGUACGGCCGCAAGGCUAAAACUCAAAGAAAUUGACGGGGGCCCGCACAAGCGGCGGAGCAUGCGGAUUAAUUCGAUGCAACGCGAAGAACCUUACCAAGGCUUGACAUGCACCGGUAACACUCAGAGAUGGGUGCCCCGCAAGGUCGGUGCACAGGUGGUGCAUGGU